UACGAAGGGGGCUAGCGUUGUUCGGAAUAACUGGGCGUAAAGCGCGCGUAGGCGGGCUGUUAAGUCAGGGGUGAAAUCCCACGGCUCAACCGUGGAACUGCCUUUGAUACUGGCAGCCUUGAGUUCGAGAGAGGUGAGUGGAAUUCCGAGUGUAGAGGUGAAAUUCGUAGAUAUUCGGAGGAACACCAGUGGCGAAGGCGGCUCACUGGCUCGAAACUGACGCUGAGGCGCGAAAGCGUGGGGAGCAAACAGG
This 253-nucleotide unclassified non-coding RNA is filed under the name uncultured Rhodobacterales bacterium. RNAcentral's name for it is "contains 16S-23S intergenic spacer region". It matches the Rfam family "Bacterial small subunit ribosomal RNA", at positions 524 to 776 of the family's 1533-position model. Lineage: Bacteria; Pseudomonadati; Pseudomonadota; Alphaproteobacteria; Rhodobacterales. The record is from RNAcentral.